AGCAUUAAGUCUUAAUUAGAUUUUGCGCUCUGGUGAAGUGUCCUUAAGAUCUGGGGACUGAAACAUUCUUUUAAAGAAGUUUACAGUUUUCUCUUCUAAAUAUUACUCUGCUCACAGACAACUUAUCAAGGAUCCUUUCUCAAGUAUUUUCCGGAAUAACUUCAGUACUAUCAGCAAUUUCUGCUGCUGCCCAGGAGAAGUCUUUGCUUUGAGAGAGUUACGAAAAAGCUCCCACAAUCUUGGUUUAAGAUGAAGUCUGCCUGCUUGUUUUUAUACCGCGGUUGGGUUCAGUGCACUGCGCCUACCAGCUGGACUAACGGUUGUCAUCUGAACACCAAGACUGACCCGGUGAUCUUAAGCUCUCCAGUUUCUCUAGGACAGACCCUCCCUCGCCUGCUUCCAUGAAGAGAUGCACGGUUUCACCCCAUAGGACUGCGCCAUAUAACUCGGCAAUGUUCUCAUGCCGGAAGCAAGCCUGGAUUUCCACAUCGGAUGGCUUAAAUUGAUCUACUGGGAUCUAGAACACAGAAAUACCAGUAAGAUGCUAACCAACCCAGGACAGCGAAAAAAUAUCUAUAAUAGAGGUCAACCCACAAACCAGAAGGCAAAUAAAUGCCCCCAAGGAUCCCUCAAGGAUCUGCAUGAAAUUAUACUGCCAAGUUCAAAUAAUGUUGACUUCAAACCUGCAUUUACAUUAUGUCCGCUUUAGGUGAUGGCCGGGGCCUGGGGGCUUGGGGAAAUAGGUGAAGGUGGUCAAAGAGUAUGAACUUGUACAAUUCACAAGAAGAAAAUAACAAAAUAUAAAGUAUUAUUUUCAUUUAAAAUGUAG
Long non-coding RNA from Leopardus geoffroyi (Geoffroy's cat), 829 nucleotides. RefSeq lists it as uncharacterized. The record is from RefSeq and is a predicted model, not a curated record. NCBI's taxonomy places the organism in Eukaryota, Metazoa, Chordata, Mammalia, Carnivora, Felidae. The transcript is spliced from 2 exons.